AGAGUUUGAUCCUGGCUCAGGAUGAACGCUGACAGAAUGCUUAACACAUGCAAGUCAACUUGAAUUUGGGUUUUUUAACUUAGAUUUGGGUGGCGGACGGGUGAGUAACGCGUAAAGAACUUGCCUCACAGCUAGGGACAACAUUUGGAAACGAAUGCUAAUACCUGAUAUUAUGAUUUUAAGGCAUCUUAGAAUUAUGAAAGCUAUAUGCACUGUGAGAGAGCUUUGCGUCCCAUUAGCUAGUUGGAGAGGUAACGGCUCACCAAGGCGAUGAUGGGUAGCCGGCCUGAGAGGGUGAACGGCCACAAGGGGACUGAGACACGGCCCUUACUCCUACGGGAGGCAGCAGUGGGGAAUAUUGGACAAUGGACCAAGAGUCUGAUCCAGCAAUUCUGUGUGCACGAUGACGUUUUUCGGAAUGUAAAGUGCUUUCAGUUGGGAAGAAAAAAAUGACGGUACCAACAGAAGAAAG
RNAcentral lists this ribosomal RNA (472 nucleotides) under Fusobacterium sp. oral clone BP2-65. RNAcentral's name for it is "bacterial SSU rRNA". It matches the Rfam family "Bacterial small subunit ribosomal RNA", at positions 8 to 491 of the family's 1533-position model. The record is from RNAcentral. Lineage: Bacteria; Fusobacteriati; Fusobacteriota; Fusobacteriia; Fusobacteriales; Fusobacteriaceae.